This is a long non-coding RNA of Xiphophorus hellerii (green swordtail), 648 nucleotides long. RefSeq lists it as uncharacterized. Lineage: Eukaryota; Metazoa; Chordata; Actinopteri; Cyprinodontiformes; Poeciliidae. The transcript has 2 exons. The record is from RefSeq and is a predicted model, not a curated record.
GGGGCGGAGCCUCAGGUGGGUCCGGUUCAAGUUCUGGAGAAUCGGGUCCAGUUCGUUCCGACUCGGUUUGUGUGAACAGAAGGAGAAGCAAAGAUCUGAUCAGAGACACCAUCGUUUCUCCUCUUCCUCCUCUUCCUCAGACAUCGCUGCAACCGAAGGGGAAACGCAGCAGGAGGCCAGAGGAACAUCAACAGUACGAGGGAUUAAAGCGUCUUUGUGUCCUUUUUGCCAGCAGAUGGCAUCGAGGAACUCGUUCAGGAAGUUUUAGUCACUCUCGGUUUUCCAGGAAGUUUUUUUGCACAAUUUUCCUCCGAGAUAAUUAGCAGGAAACAGCUGUCUCGAUUUGGUGAGUCACAGUUUUUCACUCCAAAUUCUGGGUUGUUUUUUAUUCGGAGGGAGAGCUGCAAAUAUUUUUAUCCACAGGAAAUACCUGAUAAAUAUGCUGAAUGUAAAAUUAGAGGAGAAAAUCAGAGCGAAGCUGCAGCUUCUCUUCUCUGAAUGGAGCUACAGCGACAUCUGCUGGGUCUUAAAGGAAUAUUGGGAAUUGCAGUAUUUUGCACCAAUGUUAUGUUAUUUCUUUUUCACAUUUCUUCUAUCGAAUGUUGGUUCCUGGGUGUUUAAUGAGACAAUAAAGUUUUUAAUAAUGUU